AUCAUUAUGAAGCACUAAAUAGAUUUUUAUAAUAAACUUAUCUAUAAAUAUAGUACAUAUUGCUAAUAUUUUCUACAAACCUAGUUUGACUAAUUUUCUACAAACCUAGUUUGACUAAGAUGAAUUACAUAGCCGAGGGGUGUAGAUAGACAGACAAAUAGCAGAUAGACACGUGGAAGCAACAUUAGCACAAUAAAGUUUUUUACACAAGUACAUUGGAAUAUAUAAUUACCACCACAUUGGAGGUAACAAACAUAUUCAAAAUUACAAACCAACGCAAUCCAAGACAUUGGAAUAAUUACCACCACAUUGGAGGUAACAAACAUAUUCAAAAUUACAAACCAACGCAAUCCAAGACAGUUUAACUGUGUGUUCGCGAGGUAUUUAUGGGUAGACUGAAAUGAUUGAUCGAGCGCCUAACACCGGCAAUAUCUUGUAAUCACUAAAUCCAGCUUCAAAAAAGAUUUUCU
RNAcentral lists this long non-coding RNA (470 nucleotides) under Sorghum bicolor (sorghum). RNAcentral describes it as "long non-coding RNA (SBIC_LNC016744)". Lineage: Eukaryota; Viridiplantae; Streptophyta; Magnoliopsida; Poales; Poaceae. The record is from RNAcentral.